AGAGUUUGAUCAUGGCUCAGGAUGAACGCUGGCGGCGUGCCUAACACAUGCAAGUCGAACGAGAAGCUAACUUCUGAUUCUUUCGGGAUGAUGAGGUUAGCAGAAAGUGGCGAACGGGUGAGUAACGCGUGGGUAAUCUACCCUGUAAGUGGGGGAUAACCCUCCGAAAGGAGGGCUAAUACCGCAUAAUAUCUUCACUUCUACAAGAAGAGAAGAUUAAAGAUGGCCUCUAUACUAUGCUAUCGCUUCAGGAUGAGCCUGCGUCCUAUUAGUUAGUUGGUGGGGUAAUGGCCUACCAAGACCACAAUGGGUAGCCGGUCUGAGAGGAUGUACGGCCACACUGGGACUGAGAUACGGCCCAGACUCCUACGGGAGGCAGCAGUGGGGAAUAUUGCGCAAUGGGGGAAACCCUGACGCAGCGACGCCGCGUGGAUGAUGAAGGCCCUUGGGUUGUAAAAUCCUGUUCUGGGGGAAGAAAGCUUAAGAGUCUAAUAAACCCUUAAGCCUGACGGUACCCCAAGAGAAAGCUCCGGCUAAUUAUGUGCCAGCAGCCGCGGUAAUACAUAAGGAGCAAGCGUUAUCCGGAAUUAUUGGGCGUAAAGAGCUCGUAGGCGGUCUUAAAAGUCAGGUGUGAAAUUAUCAGGCUCAACCUGAUAAGGUCAUCUGAAACUUUAAGACUUGAGGAUAGAAGAGGAAAGUGGAAUUCCCGGUGUAGCGGUGAAAGGCGUAGAUAUCGGGAGGAACACCAGUGGCGAAGGCGGCUUUCUGGUCUAUCUCUGACGCUGAGGAGCGAAAGCUAGGGGAGCAAACGGGAUUAGAUACCCCGGUAGUCCUAGCUGUAAACGAUGGAUACUAGGUGUGGGAGGUAUCGACCCCUUCUGUGCCGCAGCUAACGCAUUAAGUAUCCCGCCUGGGGAGUACGGUCGCAAGGCUGAAACUCAAAUGAAUUGACGG
This 954-nucleotide ribosomal RNA is filed under the name uncultured bacterium. RNAcentral's name for it is "bacterial SSU rRNA". It matches the Rfam family "Bacterial small subunit ribosomal RNA", at positions 8 to 916 of the family's 1533-position model. The record is from RNAcentral.